Molecule: non-coding RNA, 29 nt
Filed under: Mus musculus (house mouse)
Lineage: Eukaryota; Metazoa; Chordata; Mammalia; Rodentia; Muridae
Source: RNAcentral
UAAGUUCAUAUAUGCAACAGUCAUGUCUA